CCUACGGGAGGCAGCAGUGGGGAAUAUUGCACAAUGGGGGAAACCCUGAUGCAGCGACGCCGCGUGAGUGAAGAAGUAAUUCGUUAUGUAAAGCUCUAUCAGCAGGGAAGAAAAUGACGGUACCUGAGUAAGAAGCCCCGGCUAACUACGUGCCAGCAGCCGCGGUAAUACGUAGGGGGCAAGCGUGAUCCGGAUUUACUGGGUGGAAAGGGAGCGUAGACGGCAGUGCAAGUCUGGAGUGAAAGGCGGGGGCUCAACCCCCGGACUGCUCUGGAAACUGUACGGCUGGAGUGCAGGAGAGGUAAGUGGCAUUCCUAGUGUAGCGGUGAAAUGCGUAGAUAUUAGGAGGAACACCAGUGGCGAAGGCGGCUUACUGGACUGUAACUGACGUUGAGGCUCGAAAGCGUGGGGAGCAAACAGGAUUAGAUACCCCUGUAGUC
Molecule: ribosomal RNA, 440 nt
Filed under: uncultured bacterium
Lineage: Bacteria
Description: partial 16S ribosomal RNA
Rfam family: Bacterial small subunit ribosomal RNA
Source: RNAcentral